GCGCCCGUAGCUCAAUCGGAUAGAGCGUUUGACUACGGAUCAAAAGGUUAGGGGUUCGACUCCUCUCGGGCGCGCCA
RNAcentral lists this transfer RNA (77 nucleotides) under Bacillus vallismortis. Its description in RNAcentral is "tRNA-Arg". It matches the Rfam family "tRNA". Rfam says of the family: Transfer RNA (tRNA) molecules are approximately 80 nucleotides in length. Their secondary structure includes four short double-helical elements and three loops (D, anti-codon, and T loops). Lineage: Bacteria; Bacillati; Bacillota; Bacilli; Caryophanales; Bacillaceae. The record is from RNAcentral.